RNAcentral lists this ribosomal RNA (438 nucleotides) under uncultured bacterium. Its description in RNAcentral is "bacterial SSU rRNA". It matches the Rfam family "Bacterial small subunit ribosomal RNA", at positions 958 to 1397 of the family's 1533-position model. The record is from RNAcentral.
AACGCGAAGAACCUUACCCAGGUUUGAAAUACAGAGGACGAUACCAGAGAUGGUAUUUCCCGCAAGGGUCUUUGUACAGGUGCUGCAUGGCUGUCGUCAGCUCGUGCCGUGAGGUGUUGGGUUAAGUCCCGCAACGAGCGCAACCCUUAUCAUUAGUUGCCAACACGCGAGGUGGGGACUCUAGUGAGACUGCCUAGGUUAACUAGGAGGAAGGUGAGGAUGACGUCAAGUCCGCAUGGCCUUUAUAUCUGGGGCUACACACGUGCUACAAUGGUCGGUACAGAAGGCAGCAAGACCGCAAGGUGGAGCAAAUCCCUAAAACCGAUCUCAGUUCAGAUUGUAGUCUGCAACUCGACUACAUGAAGUUGGAAUUGCUAGUAAUGACGUGUCAGCAACAACGUCGUGAAUACGUUCCCGGGCCUUGUACACACCGACAUA